ACACGCUACAAUGGGAAGGGACAAUAGGUUGCGAAGCCGCGAGGCGGAGCCAAUCCAGCAAAACUUCCCUCAGUUCAGAUUGCAGGCUGCAACUCGCCUGCAUGAAGUUGGAGUUGCUAGUAAACGCAGGUCAGCCAUACUGCGUUGAAUACGUUCCCGGGGCUU
Molecule: ribosomal RNA, 165 nt
Filed under: uncultured Anaerolineaceae bacterium
Lineage: Bacteria; Bacillati; Chloroflexota; Anaerolineae; Anaerolineales; Anaerolineaceae
Description: partial 16S ribosomal RNA
Rfam family: Bacterial small subunit ribosomal RNA
Source: RNAcentral